This 278-nucleotide ribosomal RNA is filed under the name uncultured bacterium. RNAcentral's name for it is "partial small subunit ribosomal RNA". It matches the Rfam family "Bacterial small subunit ribosomal RNA", at positions 26 to 285 of the family's 1533-position model. The record is from RNAcentral.
AGAACGAACGCUGGCGGCGUGGAUAAGACAUGCAAGUCGAGCGAGAUUUUUCUUGUAGCAAUACAGGGAAAAGUCUAGCGGCAAACGGGUGAGUAACACGUGGGUGACCUGCCUUCGAGCGGGGGAUAACGUCCCGAAAGGGACGCUAAUACCGCAUAACAUCCUGCCUUUUAAGAGGUGGAGAUCAAAGCCGGGACCGCAAGGCCUGGCACUUGAAGAGGGGCCCGCGUCUGAUUAGCUAGUUGGUGGGUAAUGGCCUACCAAGGCAACGAUCAGUA